CACGUAGGGGGCGAGCGUUGUCCGGAUUUAUUGGGCGUAAAGAGCUCGUAGGCGGUUUCGUAAGUCGGAUGUGAAAACUCCAGGCUCAACUUGGAGACGCCAUUCGAUACUGCGAUGACUUGAGUCCGGUAGGGGAGUGUGGAAUUCCUGGUGUAGCGGUGAAAUGCGCAGAUAUCAGGAGGAACACCGGUGGCGAAGGCGGUUGCCUGGAGCUUUGCUGACGCUGAUGCGCGAAAGCGUGGGGAGCGAUCCGG
This 254-nucleotide ribosomal RNA is filed under the name uncultured bacterium. RNAcentral's name for it is "partial 16S ribosomal RNA". It matches the Rfam family "Bacterial small subunit ribosomal RNA", at positions 524 to 776 of the family's 1533-position model. The record is from RNAcentral.